This 241-nucleotide long non-coding RNA is filed under the name Gossypium raimondii (Peruvian cotton). Its description in RNAcentral is "long non-coding RNA (GRAI_LNC005752)". Lineage: Eukaryota; Viridiplantae; Streptophyta; Magnoliopsida; Malvales; Malvaceae. The record is from RNAcentral.
UUAAGGCUAGUGGGCAUUUGGGCUAGGGUUGUAUUUGAGUUUAAUUUUGGGCUGAUAACUUGGGUUUAGGUUUAAUUUCUUUUGGUUUGUAAACUGGACUAAUUUUAUUGGACCUUUAAAUUUUUUUAUUUUUAUAUUUGGGUUUUAAUAUCUGUAUUGGGCAGGGCAAAAUUUGGGCAUUACAGCUGCCCCACUUUGCUAUUUGUCGUGUAACAGGAGCGGAGCAAAGACUCCAAAAAUU